CGGAGACGCGCCAUUGUUACUUCGGGACACCUGGGGGCCGCGUAAGGACAGUCUUGGAAAAUGCUACCUAAAAUGGAGUCCCCGUGGUCAGAGAGACACAUUCGAGGAACCUAAGAUCAUCAAGAGGCUGCGGCUGAGCUGUGGCCUAGCCACUUGCCGCUGUGACCCCCACUGACCAAUCAGCUGUGGACUCCUGGACUUUGUUGAUCGCCUGCACCAACCAGCCCGGCUUUGCCUUCUUUGACUCAAGCCCUUUGUUCUCUUUCCCACACACACUGUUAGUUUUAUUCGAAUCUUUGUAUUCCGAAUUGCAGCUUCUAAGACCCUAAAGAAAGCUGUCUUGGUUUUUUUCAGCCUCGAUAUUGAUAACUGGUUAUUCUUGUAGCAUUUUCUAAGGUUAUUAAAACAUGUUCUGCAGGUAGCUAGCUUGUAAAGCUAAGCGGGACAACGUCAUGGUCAUCAGCGGUCACACAGUGCCCUCUGGUGGCUCCGUGAGAAAACGACACGCAGGCUCCAGGACACCAUGAUUGAGCUCAGGACCUUGUAUUCGAGAGACAAGCGCGGUGCCACUGAGCUAAAUCCCUGGCCCUUCCACAAUGUUACCUCAAUAAAUUUUGGAAUUUGAAAUGGACAAAGUAUUUGAAAGAAGAACAAAAAGAAAGGAUUACAGUAAUGAUUGGUGCCUGGCUCUCAUCGCUUUGCAAAGUUAUGAUUUUAAAGGCUUCAUUUUCUAACAUCGAUUUAUUAAAAAUCUACUUAGAAGAUUAGAAGAUAAGACUUUUGACUCUUUAUUCUACUUGUAUCAGUCCUUUUCUUGAGGGCAGAACUUACAGAAACCUAUAGUUUUGUGUGGAAGAUUUGACCAGGUCUGGGGGAUCAUGUGCUGGUGAUGAAGUAAUAGAUUGAAGAAAAU
This 913-nucleotide long non-coding RNA is filed under the name Heterocephalus glaber (naked mole-rat). Its description in RNAcentral is "lncRNA (ENSHGLG00000046036.1)". The record is from RNAcentral. Lineage: Eukaryota; Metazoa; Chordata; Mammalia; Rodentia; Bathyergidae.